CCGGCCAUAGCGAUGGGGUUCGACCUGGUCCCAUUCCGAACCCAGAAGUCAAACCUAUCGUCGCUGCCGUGUUAGUAAGGUGCGGAAGCACUUGCGAAGCGGCAGUGCCG
RNAcentral lists this ribosomal RNA (110 nucleotides) under Candidatus Nitrosocaldaceae archaeon. The record is from RNAcentral. Lineage: Archaea; Thermoproteati; Nitrososphaerota; Nitrososphaeria; Candidatus Nitrosocaldales; Candidatus Nitrosocaldaceae.